AGUGAACGCUGGCGGUAGGCCUAACACAUGCCAGUCGAACGGCAGCACAGUAAGAGCUUGCUCUUACGGGUGGCGAGUGGCGGACGGGUGAGGAAUACAUCGGAAUCUACUUUUUCGUGGGGGAUAACGUAGGGAAACUUACGCUAAUACCGCAUACGACCUACGGGUGAAAGCAGGGAAUCUUCGGACCUUGCGCGAUUGAAUGAGCCGAUGUCGGAUUAGCUAGUUGGCGGGGUAAAGGCCCACCAAGGCGACGAUCCGUAGCUGGUCUGAGAGGAUGAUCAGCCACACUGGAACUGAGACACGGUCCAGACUCCUACGGGAGGCAGCAGUGGGGAAUAUUGGACAAUGGGCGCAAGCCUGAUCCAGCCAUACCGCGUGGGUGAAGAAGGCCUUCGGGUUGUAAAGCCCUUUUGUUGGGAAAGAAAAGCAGCAGGUUAAUACCCCGCUGUUCUGACGGUACCCAAAGAAUAAGCACCGGCUAACUUCGUG
RNAcentral lists this ribosomal RNA (492 nucleotides) under uncultured bacterium. Its description in RNAcentral is "partial 16S ribosomal RNA". It matches the Rfam family "Bacterial small subunit ribosomal RNA", at positions 29 to 507 of the family's 1533-position model. The record is from RNAcentral.